GACGAACGCUGGCGGCGUGCUUAACACAUGCAAGUCGAACGGAAAGGCCUCUUUCGGGGGGUACUCGAGUGGCGAACGGGUGGGUAACACGUGAGUAACCUGCCCUUGACUUUGGGAUAACUUCAGGAAACUGGGGCUAAUACCGGAUAGGAGCUCCUGCUGCAUGGUGGGGGUUGGAAAGUUUCGGCGGUUGGGGAUGGACUCGCGGCUUAUCAGCUUGUUUGUGGGGUAGUGGCUUACCAAGGCUUUGACGGGUAGCCGGCCUGAGAGGGUGACCGGCCACAUUGGGACUGAGAUACGGCCCAGACUCCUACGGGAGGCAGCAGUGGGGAAUAUUGCACAAGGGGUGGAAGCCUGAUGCAGCAACGCCGUGGGCGGGAUGACGGCCUUCGGGUUGUAAACCGCUUUCGCUCAUGACGAAGCUUUGUGUGACGGUAGUGGGUAAAGAAGCACCGGCUAACUACGUG
Molecule: ribosomal RNA, 467 nt
Filed under: uncultured bacterium
Lineage: Bacteria
Description: partial 16S ribosomal RNA
Rfam family: Bacterial small subunit ribosomal RNA
Source: RNAcentral